RNAcentral lists this ribosomal RNA (273 nucleotides) under uncultured bacterium. RNAcentral's name for it is "partial 16S ribosomal RNA". It matches the Rfam family "Bacterial small subunit ribosomal RNA", at positions 524 to 796 of the family's 1533-position model. The record is from RNAcentral.
UACGAAGGGGGCUAGCGUUGUUCGGAAUCACUGGGCGUAAAGCGCAUGCAGGCGGAUCGCUAAGUCGGGGGUGAAAGCCCGAGGCUCAACCUCGGAACUGCCUUCGAUACUGGCGAUCUUGAGUCCGGGAGAGGUGAGUGGAACUCCGAGUGUAGAGGUGAAAUUCGUAGAUAUUCGGAAGAACACCAGUGGCGAAGGCGGCUCACUGGCCCGGUACUGACGCUGAGAUGCGAAAGCGUGGGGAGCAAACAGGAUUAGAAACCCCCGUAGUCC